UACGUAGGGGGCUAGCGUUGUCCGGAAUCAUUGGGCGUAAAGCGCGUGUAGGCGGUCCGGUAAGUCCGCUGUGAAAGUCGGGGGCUCAACCCUCGGAUGCCGGUGGAUACUGUCGGGCUUGAGUACGGAAGGGGCGAGUGGAAUUCCUGGUGUAGCGGUGAAAUGCGCAGAUAUCAGGAGGAACACCUAUGGCGAAGGCAGCUCGCUGGGACGGUACUGACGCUGAGGCGCGAAAGCGUGGGGAGCGAACAGG
RNAcentral lists this ribosomal RNA (253 nucleotides) under uncultured bacterium. RNAcentral's name for it is "partial 16S ribosomal RNA". It matches the Rfam family "Bacterial small subunit ribosomal RNA", at positions 524 to 776 of the family's 1533-position model. The record is from RNAcentral.